UCGAGGGGUAUAGUAGCAAUACUAGAGACCGGCGCACGGGUGCGUAACGCGUAUGCAAUCUACCUUUCACAGAGGGAUAGCCCAGAGAAAUUUGGAUUAAUACCUCAUAGUAUAAUGAGUUGGCAUCAACCCAUUAUUAAAGUCACAACGGUGAAAGAUGAGCAUGCGUCCCAUUAGCUAGUUGGUAAGGUAACGGCUUACCAAGGCUACGAUGGGUAGGGGUCCUGAGAGGGAGAUCCCCCACACUGGUACUGAGACACGGACCAGACUCCUACGGGAGGCAGCAGUGAGGAAUAUUGGUCAAUGGGCG
RNAcentral lists this ribosomal RNA (310 nucleotides) under uncultured Bacteroidota bacterium. RNAcentral's name for it is "bacterial SSU rRNA". It matches the Rfam family "Bacterial small subunit ribosomal RNA", at positions 62 to 377 of the family's 1533-position model. The record is from RNAcentral. Lineage: Bacteria; Pseudomonadati; Bacteroidota.